CUACGGGUGGCUGCAGUGGGGAAUAUUGGACAAUGGGCGAAAGCCUGAUCCAGCCAUGCCGCGUGUGUGAAGAAGGCCUUCGGGUUGUAAAGCACUUUCAGUGGGGAAGAAAGCCUUGGGGCUAAUACCCUCGAGGAAGGACAUCACCCACAGAAGAAGCACCGGCUAACUCCGUGCCAGCAGCCGCGGUAAUACGGAGGGUGCGAGCGUUAAUCGGAAUUACUGGGCGUAAAGCGCGCGUAGGCGGUCUGAUAAGCCGGUUGUGAAAGCCCCGGGCUCAACCUGGGAACGGCAUCCGGAACUGUCAGGCUAGAGAGCAGGAGAGGAAGGUAGAAUUCCCGGUGUAGCGGUGAAAUGCGUAGAGAUCGGGAGGAAUACCAGUGGCGAAGGCGGCCUUCUGGACUGACACUGACGCUGAGGUGCGAAAGCGUGGGUAGCAAACAGGAUUAGAUACCCUGGUAGUC
Molecule: ribosomal RNA, 464 nt
Filed under: Vreelandella stevensii
Lineage: Bacteria; Pseudomonadati; Pseudomonadota; Gammaproteobacteria; Oceanospirillales; Halomonadaceae
Description: partial 16S ribosomal RNA
Rfam family: Bacterial small subunit ribosomal RNA
Source: RNAcentral